AAUUUUUUAAGCGUGCCUGCUGUUGUGUUUACCUUUCAGUGAAAAAAUAAAUGAAAAAAAUGUUCCAAUAUUUAGAGUGUUUAGAGUGCUCUAGAGUGCCAAAUACGUUGCUCCGCGCCAUCAGUUCCUAUCUAAAUCGCUCCGGUACCAUGUGCCCACGUAGACGAAAAAAUCGUCUUUCCCCGGCAAUCGAAUCGAGGAUGUGUGGUAAAUUUCCGAUUGGAGAAUUCCUCAUUCAUUUGGAAUCAUAUGUGCAGAAUCAUCGAUAGAAGGAGAGUGGAAAUGACACAGGUAGAGUCGAAUGGCCACCUCCGACGGCAGCAACCUUAGCGACCUCGUAAUUGAUGGGGCAGCCUCCAGGAGCUUCCAUUGGCCCCGCAGGGAAAAGAUGUUCGGUGAUGCAAGUUGGAUGGAACAUUGAAAUGAAGUGUUUUCACAUGACAAAAUAAUGAACAGUAAUCACCUAACAAUCAAUUCGUACAUUCGUGAAAUAAACUAGUUAAAAAAGGCAAUUCCAA
Molecule: long non-coding RNA, 518 nt
Organism: Aedes aegypti (yellow fever mosquito)
Lineage: Eukaryota; Metazoa; Arthropoda; Insecta; Diptera; Culicidae
Exons: 2
Source: RefSeq, a predicted model, not a curated record